Long non-coding RNA from Lycium barbarum (goji berry), 2652 nucleotides. RefSeq lists it as uncharacterized. Lineage: Eukaryota; Viridiplantae; Streptophyta; Magnoliopsida; Solanales; Solanaceae. The transcript has 2 exons. The record is from RefSeq and is a predicted model, not a curated record.
UUUUUUUUAAAAUAUUAAUUAUUAAUUGUCUUCAUAUAGUAUAUAUUUUACUAGUUGUUAAAUUAGAAGCUCAACAAUAAUAAAAUAGAGGAGAAAGGAUCAACAAUUUUCACCUCAUAAAAAAUUGCUCGGAAGUAUAUCAAUAUUGGACUCAUUUUGAAGCUCGUAUUUUAAAAUGACGUAUUAUAAUUUUUAUUUUUGUCAAAAUAUUAUUUUACAAGGGACCAAUUCUUGAUAAUUCUAUUUACCUUUUUUCCCUAUUCCAUAAAAAAUAAAAUAAAAAAUUCAAAAAUCAUUUUCAAAGUUUCCAUCUGUGUCUUUCUCCUUUGCCUUUUUUUUGGGGUUCCACACGCAACUUUCCAUUUUUUAUUUCUUCCUUCUUUUCUUUUGGGGAUCCACAUGUUUUCUCUUUUUUGACUUCAUACCAUAUUUUCCCUAAAUUGCUCCAUCUCCCUUCUCUUUCUCCUGCAAACCAGCCGCCUCCCUCAUCUCCUUUGUCCUCUCUCCUUCUCUCCGUCCCUCACCUGCGCUCCCUUUCCCCGAUUUUCCUCCACUCUCAUCCGUCGCUGUCCCCCACUCGCUACACCCCGCUCCUCUUCUUCUUCCAUCUAAAACCCUAAUCACAAUCCUAUAAAAAGAGGGGAACGAGGAGAAGCGAGGAGGACGAAAAGACCUCUCAUUUAAGCUAUUUUUCUACUUUUGCUAAAAAAAAACAUUAGCAUUUUAUAUCUUUCAAUCUCUGUCCGUUUCUAUUUUGUAAAAGGAGAGUAGAUCUGAGACUUGACGCCCCGUUCACUGUGCUCACAAGAGAGUUUGACUUCGAAACUCAAGGACACCGCUUAUGGAGUCCACAUAUCUGCGCGAAUUUUUCUUGUCUCUCAAAUAUCAAUUUACAGAGGGGAUUUUGUCCUCCCAUUAAAGCCGAAUGUGCUACUUAAUCGUCCCUCUUUUCUCUGGUUGUUUUGCUUACUUAUGAUGGUGAAUGAUUUUAUUUUCAGUUAUGUAUUUACCGUUAAAAGUAGGAUUGUUAUACAAUUAAUUAAUGACUAAGCCUUAAGUAAUUAUUUAAAGUCCUUGCCUUAUAACAUUUUUUUAGGAUUAAUAAUUCAAUAACUUUAGGAUAUUGAACAUUGAUUUUGAGUGGUAAUUUGGUUUCAAGCUAAAAAAAAAUAGUAACUUUUUUUUUUAAAAUAAACCACUCUAGUUUGUAAGUGAUUCUACUACAAUCAGAGUCGUUUUCUUCUUUACGUUUAGUAUAGUUAAGCUAACUAUUAAGAAUUGUUUUUCAAUUCUAAACUCACUUUUUUUUCAACUUUGAAUCCAAACUUUUCCCAUUAACUAAUUUUGACUUUAUAUAGUCUAUUAAAAGGGUCUAAAGUUUACCUUGUUUUGCAAUAGGACAUUCUCAAACUUUGGUACAUUUUGGUCCCAAACAUUCUUUUAAAAAUCAAGUCUUAAAUCAGGAGUUCAGUUGUCCAAAUGCUAUGCAGUUUAAUAUAUAAGUUUUUUUUUUUCACGAAAUGCAUUAGCACUUGUAUUUUAACGACCUCCUAAAGCCUAAUUAAUUCAUCUAAGUCCUGUCGGUUAACCAUUGUUAAUGGGUCUUAAAGGGUGCCUAAUACCUUCCUUUUAGACUAAUUGAACCCUUACCUAGAAUCUCAAGUUUCGCAGACCUCAAACAGAGUUAACUUUAAACAUAACUUUAAUAAACUUUAGGUGUCCUAAUUCACCAUAAAUAAUUAGGUGGCGACUCCUUUAAAACAAGCAUAUUUAGGAAUCUCCAAUACGUCAUACUUCUAAUUUAACCCUCCGGGGUAAAAAAAAGGGGUGUGACAGCUUGGCGACUCCGCUGGGGAUUUCUUUUAGGUUCUAACCAUAACGGACUUAGUUUAAAUAGGUUUUGUGUGCUUAUUUUGAUUACUUUAUUUGUUUGUUAACUGUUUUUACAUGCUAUUAAUUGUUUGCUUGAUAUAAACUGUUUGUUUGAUAUAAACUGUUUAUGUGUUACUGCUUUGAUAAACUGUCAUUCCGUUCAUAUUUCCUCCACUUCUGAAAAACUCACACAUAUUCACACACUUAAAACGGCUUCGCGGUUCGCGCCCGUUCACUACUAAAUUACCCCUUUAGUUGGAUUGAUCUUGUGGAUUUAGUCGAUCAGCGGUGCAGUCGACGGCCACGGACUUUCCACUCUCAAGUUGUCCGCUUGGGAGAACCUUGUGUCAUAGGAAGCCAACUCUUAGUCAGCCUAAGAUAGAGCUAAACCAACACCCUUUAUUAAGAGCAUACAUUUCAUGACCUAGGAGGUUUAAUACCCUUGGUGCAUUAAAUCCAUUAGAUGACUUUACCCAAACGUCCAAGCGGGUUCACAACCCCAAGUGACACCAAUCAUACUUUAUGUGCAUGUUUAAAGGAUAACUGUGCCUAAAUAUUGACUAUUUGCUUUAAUUAAUUAAACUUUAGGAGGGAAGGAUGAUUAACGUUUCUAUGACAGGUAUGGAUUUGCAUUGGAGUACAAUGAAUGACGAAGAUCAAUGACAUCACAAAAACGGGGCUGAGAUUUAGACAUAGGAAAUUGUAUUCACUUCAUUUAGAUUAGGAAACACUUUAUGUUGUAUUCAUUUGACAUGUAAUAAACGUUACAUUACUUUUGUA